ACGGAGGGUGCGAGCGUUAAUCGGAAUUACUGGGCGUAAAGCGUACGCAGGCGGUUUGGUAAGCGAGGUGUGAAAACCCCGGGCUCAACCUGGGAACUGCAUUUUGGACUGGCUAACUAGAGUGUGAUAGAGGGGGGUAGAAUUUCACGUGUAGCGGUGAAAUGCGUAGAGAUGUGGAGGAACACCGAUGGCGAAGGCAGCCACCUGGGACAUGACUGACGCUCAGGUACGAAAGCGUGGGGAGCAAACAG
Molecule: ribosomal RNA, 251 nt
Filed under: uncultured prokaryote
Description: partial 16S ribosomal RNA
Rfam family: Bacterial small subunit ribosomal RNA
Source: RNAcentral